UGGGGAAUAUUGGACAAUGGGCGCAAGCCUGAUCCAGCCAUGCCGCGUGGAUGAUGAAGGCCCUAGGGUUGUAAAGUCCUUUCGGCGGGGAAGAUAAUGACGGUACCCGCAGAAGAAGCCCCGGCUAACUUCGUGCCAGCAGCCGCGGUAAUACGAAGGGGGCUAGCGUUGCUCGGAAUCACUGGGCGUAAAGCGCGCGUAGGCGGUUUGGUAAGUCGGAUGUGAAAUCCCGAGGCUCAACCUCGGGACUGCAUCCGAUACUGCCCGACUAGAGGUAGGUAGGGGAGAUCGGAAUUCCUGGUGUAGCGGUGAAAUGCGCAGAUAUCAGGAGGAACACCGGUGGCGAAGGCGGAUCUCUGGGCCUUACCUGACGCUGAGGCGCGAAAGCUAGGGGAGCGAACAGGAUUAGAUACCCUGGUAGUCCUAGCCGUAAACGGUUGGGUGCUAGGUGUGGGCGGAUAUCGACCCCGUCCGUGCCGAAGCUAACGCA
Molecule: ribosomal RNA, 490 nt
Filed under: uncultured Pseudomonadota bacterium
Lineage: Bacteria; Pseudomonadati; Pseudomonadota
Description: bacterial SSU rRNA
Rfam family: Bacterial small subunit ribosomal RNA
Source: RNAcentral